Molecule: long non-coding RNA, 988 nt
Organism: Girardinichthys multiradiatus
Lineage: Eukaryota; Metazoa; Chordata; Actinopteri; Cyprinodontiformes; Goodeidae
Exons: 2
Source: RefSeq, a predicted model, not a curated record
CUGUUGGUCUUCAUCUGUGUACUAAGGAAGCCAGAGAGCUGAUAAGGUUCUCAGGAAACUCAACAAUAUUUUUUUUUAUCAACAAACAUCCACUCAAACAUUAGAAGCACUGCAGAUACUGAGAAUAUAAGCGUUCACCCGGUCAGUCUUAGACCCGGGAAUUUGUCCAUAAAAACCAGCACACAGAGUUCUCUGUAGAUCCACCUCCUGGAUUCUGGACGUCUUCCUGAGUUCCAGCUCUCUGUGUCUUCUGUGUUUCUAGUAGUUUAACUUCCUGUGAUGCCUUUUUUUCUGUCGGCUGACGAUCAGCUCUUCCAUGUUUUCAUGGGGAAGUAAACUGGAAGGGGGCAUUGCAGCUCUCAGACUGGGAUAUAAGGCUGGCCGAAUCUCUUUGUUUAGUGGACUGAUGUUUAGCUCCGUAUUUACCUCAAUAGCUGCUGGAUUUUAGGUUGACUUCACCAGUGGGAAUGUCUUGGUCCAUCCAGGCUGAUGGACCUACCCGGUGUUCAACAACCAGUUCACAAUGCAGAGCAGAGGGGAAAAUAAAUAAUUUUAAUACAAUUAUAUUUCAAGAAUUAUUUGCAGAAUUAGAAAUCGACAACCUUUUGGACAAUUGAUUCCUAAUGUUAUGUUCACUAGCCAUUACAGGGAGUAAUGGACUACUGAGAUGAUGGCGAAAAACGUUGUAAGACUCACAGUUUGCUCGCCCUCACAGCAGGAGUGCUGACAUCUCAUGCAGAAUUAGCAGGUCAGCUAACAAUAAUAAAAAUAACGCCUACGUGUCCCUUUAAAUACCACUAAUCCAAAUAUGAAUGUGUGACUGAGUGCUGGCGGCGGCGUGCUGCGAUUGGCCACAAUCAGAACACAACAAACUGUGGUCAACACAACAGAACUAGUGGCAGCUGUUGUCUUAGCAUUAGCAGAGCUUUAGCGUUAGCAUGAGCAGCUGGGAUAACGGAGAUACAAUUUAGCACCUUUUAGAAGGACU